AAGGAUUUAAGUUAAAAAAACUAGUAACCUUCAAAGUUAAAUAUAGAUAUAUCAUCUAAGCCUUAA
This 66-nucleotide transfer RNA is filed under the name Basilepta fulvipes. RNAcentral's name for it is "tRNA-Trp". Lineage: Eukaryota; Metazoa; Arthropoda; Insecta; Coleoptera; Chrysomelidae. The record is from RNAcentral.